RNAcentral lists this ribosomal RNA (1299 nucleotides) under metagenome. Its description in RNAcentral is "bacterial SSU rRNA". It matches the Rfam family "Bacterial small subunit ribosomal RNA", at positions 208 to 1498 of the family's 1533-position model. The record is from RNAcentral.
AGGCCUUGCGCUCAUUGAGCGGCCGAUAUCAGAUUAGCUAGUUGGUGGGGUAAAAGCUCACCAAGGCGACGAUCUGUAGCGGGUCUGAGAGGAUGAUCCGCCACACUGGAACUGAGACACGGUCCAGACUCCUACGGGAGGCAGCAGUGGGGAAUUUUGGACAAUGGGGGCAACCCUGAUCCAGCCAUGCCGCGUGAGUGAAGAAGGCCUUCGGGUUGUAAAGCUCUUUCAGCCGGGAAGAAAACGCAUGGGUCAAUACCCUGUGUGGAUGACGGUACCGGAAUAAGAAGCACCGGCUAACUACGUGCCAGCAGCCGCGGUAAUACGUAGGGUGCGAGCGUUAAUCGGAAUUACUGGGCGUAAAGCGUGCGCAGGCGGUUUUGUAAGACAGGCGUGAAAUCCCCGGGCUUAACCUGGGAACUGCGUUUGUGACUGCAAGGCUAGAGUACGGCAGAGGGGGGUGGAAUUCCACGUGUAGCAGUGAAAUGCGUAGAGAUGUGGAGGAACACCAAUGGCGAAGGCAGCCCCCUGGGUCGAUACUGACGCUCAUGCACGAAAGCGUGGGUAGCAGACAGGAUUAGAUACCCUGGUAGUCCACGCCCUAAACGAUGUCAACUAGGUGUUGGGUGGGUAAAACCAUUUAGUACCGGAGCUAACGCGUGAAGUAGACCGCCUGGGGAGUACGGCCGCAAGGUUAAAACUCAAAGGAAUUGACGGGGACCCGCACAAGCGGUGGAUGAUGUGGAUUAAUUCGAUGCAACGCGAAAAACCUUACCUACCCUUGACAUGUCAGGAACUUGCCAGAGAUGGCUUGGUGCUCGAAAGAGAACCUGAACACAGGUGCUGCAUGGCUGUCGUCAGCUCGUGUCGUGGGAUGUUGGGUUAAGUCCCGCAACGAGCCCAACCCUUGUCGUUAAUCGCCAUCAUUUAGUUGGGCACUUUAACGAGACUGCCGGUGACAAACCGGAGGAAGGUGGGGAUGACGUCAAGUCCUCAUGGCCCUUAUGGGUAGGGCUUCACACGUCAUACAAUGGUCGGUACAAAGGGUCGCCAACCCGCGAGGGGGAGCCAAUCCCAUAAAGCCGAUCGUAGUCCGGAUUGCAGGCUGCAACUCGCCUGCAUGAAGUCGGAAUCGCUAGUAAUCGUGGAUCAGCAUGUCACGGUGAAUACGUUCCCGGGUCUUGUACACACCGCCCGUCACACCAUGGGAGCGGGUUCCGCCAGAAGUAGGUAGCCUAACCGCAAGGGGGGCGCUUACCACGGCGGGGUUCGUGACUGGGGUGAAGUCGGAACAAGGUA